UACGUAGGGGGCGAGCGUUGUCCGGAAUUAUUGGGCGUAAAGGGCGCGCAGGCGGAUAUUUAAGUCCGAUGUGAAAUACCAGGGCUUAACCCUGGUAGUGCAACGGAAACUGGGUAUCUUGAGUACAGGAGAGGAAAGUGGAAUUCCACGUGUAGCGGUGAAAUGCGUAGAUAUGUGGAGGAACACCAGUGGCGAAGGCGACUUUCUGGACUGUAACUGACGCUGAGGCGCGAAAGCGUGGGGAGCAAACAGGAUUAGAUACCCCUGUAGUCCCUGAG
Molecule: ribosomal RNA, 278 nt
Filed under: uncultured prokaryote
Description: partial 16S ribosomal RNA
Rfam family: Bacterial small subunit ribosomal RNA
Source: RNAcentral